This is a long non-coding RNA of Dreissena polymorpha, 1049 nucleotides long. RefSeq lists it as uncharacterized. The record is from RefSeq and is a predicted model, not a curated record. The transcript has 3 exons. Lineage: Eukaryota; Metazoa; Mollusca; Bivalvia; Myida; Dreissenidae.
CUCUUUCCUAUCAAACCGUAAUAACAGUCAACAGCUGAGGUUGUUCAUGAAAGUAUAGUUUUCAUCAUGGAUGCAAAGCUUGCUGUGGUGCUGUCGGUCAUCUCGUGUGUGAUUAAUAUCAUCGGCCUGGCGAUUCCGUACUGGCUUACAUAUUCGAUAAAAGGGGUGAUUUUUCCGCCGGCUACAAUUUAGGCCUUUGGAUAGUCUGCGCAUAUACUGACGCGCCGGGCAACAGUAUUCGCAAAUGUCAAGCCUAUGAUGACCUUCCCAAUGUUUUUCUUCACACAAGGUAUAUUGAGCUCGUGGCCUGCAUCCUGAUUUUCUGCUCCACGAUAUGGGGACUCGUCCAGACGGUCUUGCAUACCCCUAAAGUCUUGUACACGAAACCGUCAGGAGUCAUAUGUAUCAUAGCAGGUAUUAUGGCGCUGGUUGGAUGCAUAGUGUUCGCGACUAACAGCGAAAUCAAGAUCUCCGUGACUCAGGGCUAUCGCUAUCACGCGGGGUUCGCCUUGUGUAUCGCAGCCGGGAUAAUGAGCCUUGUCAGCGGAGUGCUAUACAUGGUGGCUCGAAAGAACCCACAAGCACAGCCAGUAUAGCCAGUCGCCAUAAUUUGUCUUAUACAUAAAAUAUUUUGUAUAUUGUUUUAUCUUAGAGUGAAUUAACGAAAAAGUUAACCAAUACAUGUACAAAGUCUCAAAUGUAAACGAAAAACAUUUAAACUGGAGUUACACACAUUUAAAUGAGUUUUACCAAUAUAUUUUGGUUUGGCUUCUUGUAAAAAGUCAUUAUUCUAUUUUUGUCUAUUGUAUUCUACUAUAUAAUUAUUUACGCACGUCAAAUCACUUAAAGUAAGAGUGUUGCAUAAAUUCGUAUAAUGGUUUUUAAGCUUUUAUAUAAUUCCGCUGUUGGUGCAUUCUAAUUCUCGCUAUGAUAUUCGUGGCAAUUUAUUUUAUAUUGGAUAUUAAUAGUUAUAACUUGAAUACAACCUUAACACACUGGUUGUAUGGCUUGCAGCGGUCAAUGGUUGCAUAUUUAAGUGUUAUAUGUGU